Molecule: ribosomal RNA, 785 nt
Filed under: bacterium LFM4
Lineage: Bacteria
Description: bacterial SSU rRNA
Rfam family: Bacterial small subunit ribosomal RNA
Source: RNAcentral
CGAGCGGAACGAGAAUAGCUUGCUAUUCGGCGUCGAGCGGCGGACGGGUGAGUAAUGCUUGGGAACAUGCCUUGAGGUGGGGGACAACAGUUGGAAACGACUGCUAAUACCGCAUAAUGUCUUCGGACCAAAGGAGGGGAUCUUCGGACCUUUCGCCUUUAGAGUGGCCCAAGUGAGAUUAGCUAGUUGGUGGGGUAAAGGCUCACCAAGGCGACGAUCUCUAGCUGGUUUGAGAGGAUGAUCAGCCACACUGGGACUGAGACACGGCCCAGACUCCUACGGGAGGCAGCAGUGGGGAAUAUUGCACAAUGGGGGAAACCCUGAUGCAGCCAUGCCGCGUGUGUGAAGAAGGCCCUCGGGUUGUAAAGCACUUUCAGUCGUGAGGAAAGGGGUGUAGCUAAUAUCUGCAUCCUGUGACGUUAGCGACAGAAGAAGCACCGGCUAACUCCGUGCCAGCAGCCGCGGUAAUACGGAGGGUGCGAGCGUUAAUCGGAAUUACUGGGCGUAAAGCGUGCGUAGGCGGUUUCUUAAGCGAGAUGUGAAAUCCCGGGGCUCAACCUCGGAACUGCAUUUCGAACUGGGUGACUAGAGUACUGUAGAGGGUGGUGGAAUUUCCAGUGUAGCGGUGAAAUGCGUAGAGAUUGGAAGGAACAUCAGUGGCGAAGGCGGCCACCUGGACAGAUACUGACGCUGAGGCACGAAAGCGUGGGGAGCAAACAGGAUUAGAUACCCUGGUAGUCCACGCCGUAAACGAUGUCAACUAGCUGUCUGUGUACUUGAUACGU